Molecule: long non-coding RNA, 1134 nt
Filed under: Macaca fascicularis (crab-eating macaque)
Lineage: Eukaryota; Metazoa; Chordata; Mammalia; Primates; Cercopithecidae
Description: lncRNA (ENSMFAG00000048966.1)
Source: RNAcentral
CUCCUGGGACCCACAUCCAAUGACUGGCCAAUAUGGGGACUCAAAGGCCUGGUCCCCCUUCCCCAACUUGAGACUACUGUGAAGGAUCACCCAGCUUCAGAGCUUCCCAUGACUGAGACUUUUAGCCUUUGUUGUGGUCCAACCAAACUCUUCCUAUACACAGUCCUCACUCCUUCACUUCCCUCCUGGCACUUCCUAACAAACUUCCCUAGGAACUCAACCCAAGAUUGCUGAUACCAGCAGUGAUCCAAGAAAGCGAUGCCAACAUGAGAUUUUGGAAUUGGAUCACCUACCAUCCAGCUGGCAGUGCAGACCCCAUCAGUGGCAGUAGAUGAAGUACAUGUAGUCCCUAGCACAAGGUAGCAGUGAAAUUGUUAAAACUUUUGCCAACAGUGAACUAGAAUGGUAUUCCCAAGGAAGGAAAUGCACCAGAGGGUGUGACCUAUCAGGUGGUUGAGAAAUAUAGGGGGAAUCACCACAAGGACAAUGCAGUUAGGUGGCUUUCGCUAAGGAUAAUUAACACUUUGAAAAAAAUAAUGAAAUGUUGAAAAGGAUUCAUCAGCAAUUGAAAACUGAGUGUGAAAGCCAGAAGACCUCCUUGGGAGCUCAUGGGGAUACUCUCAUCCCCUGCACCUGGAGGAAAGGGAAAGCUGAGGACCAGGUACGUGGUUUAAUCCUAAGAGUAGCAGAGUGCAGGCUGGGCACGGUGGGUCACGCCUAUAAUCCCAGCACUCUGGGAGGCCGAGGCAGGUAGAUCACGAGGUCAUGAGUUCAAGACCAGCCUGGCCAAGACGAUGAAACACCGUCCCUACUAAAAAUACAAAUGGCUGGGUAUGGUGGCUCAUGCCUAUAAUCCCAGCACUCUGGGAGGCUGAGGCAGGCAGAUCACUUGAGGUCAGGAGUUUGAGACCAGCCUGACCAAUAUGGUGAAACCCUGUCUCUACUAAAAAUACAAAAAACUUAGCCGGGCGUCAUGGCACAGGCCUGUAGUCCCAACUACUCGGGAGGCUGAGACAGGAGAAUUACUUGAAUCCGGGAGGCGGAGGUUGCAGUAAGCCAAGAUUGUGCCACUGCACUCCAGCCUGGGUGACCGAGUGAGACUUCAGCUCAAAAAAUAAAAAUAAAAAAUAAAAA